This 495-nucleotide ribosomal RNA is filed under the name uncultured bacterium. RNAcentral's name for it is "partial 16S ribosomal RNA". It matches the Rfam family "Bacterial small subunit ribosomal RNA", at positions 28 to 505 of the family's 1533-position model. The record is from RNAcentral.
GAUGAACGCUGGCGGCGUGCCUAAUACAUGCCAGUCGAGCGAACGGACGAGAAGCUUGCUUUUCUGAUGUUAGCGGCGGACGGGUGAGUAACACGUGGAUAACCUACCUAUAAGACUGGGAUAACUUCGGGAAACCGGAGCUAAUACCGGAUAAUAUUUUGAACCGCAUGGUUCAAAAGUGAAAGACGGUCUUGCUGUCACUUAUAGAUGGAUCCGCGCUGCAUUAGCUAGUUGGUAGGGUAACGGCUUACCAAGGCAACGAUGCAUAGCCGACCUGAGAGGGUGAUCGGCCACACUGGAACUGAGACACGGUCCAGACUCCUACGGGAGGCAGCAGUAGGGAAUCUUCCGCAAUGGGCGAAAGCCUGACGGAGCAACGCCGCGUGAGUGAUGAAGGUCUUCGGAUCGUAAAACUCUGUUAUUAGGGAAGAACAUAUGUGUAAGUAACUGUGCACAUCUUGACGGUACCUAAUCAGAAAGCCACGGCUAACUACG